CAGCUUCGUCAGGCAGCUCAACAUGUACGGCUUCCGGAAGGUGGUGCACAUCGAGCAGGGCGGGCUGGUGAAGCCGGACAAGGACGACACCGAGUUCCAGCACCCGUUCUUCCUGCGCGGCCAGGAGCGCCUGCUCGAGAACAUCAAGAGGAAAGUCACCAGCGUGUCGUCGCUGAAGGGGG
This is a long non-coding RNA of Camarhynchus parvulus, 182 nucleotides long. RefSeq lists it as uncharacterized. The transcript has 3 exons. The record is from RefSeq and is a predicted model, not a curated record. Lineage: Eukaryota; Metazoa; Chordata; Aves; Passeriformes; Thraupidae.